CACUGUCACUCCUACGGGAGGCAGCAGUGGGGAAUAUUGCACAAUGGGCGCAAGCCUGAUGCAGCCAUGCCGCGUGUGUGAAGAAGGCCUUCGGGUUGUAAAGCACUUUCAGUCGUGAGGAAGGCGGCGUCGUUAAUAGCGGCGUUGUUUGACGUUAGCGACAGAAGAAGCACCGGCUAACUCCGUGCCAGCAGCCGCGGUAAUACGGAGGGUGCGAGCGUUAAUCGGAAUUACUGGGCGUAAAGCGCAUGCAGGUGGUUUGUUAAGUCAGAUGUGAAAGCCCCGGGGCUUAACCUCGGAAUAGCAUUUGAAACUGGCAGACUAGAGUACUGUAGAGGGGGUAGAAUUUCAGGUGUAGCGGUGAAAUGCGUAGAGAUCUGAAGGAAUACCGGUGGCGAAGGCGGCCCCCUGGACAGAUACUGACACUCAGAUGCGAAAGCGUGGGGAGCAAACAGGAUUAGAUACCCUGGUAG
RNAcentral lists this ribosomal RNA (473 nucleotides) under uncultured bacterium. RNAcentral's name for it is "bacterial SSU rRNA". It matches the Rfam family "Bacterial small subunit ribosomal RNA", at positions 325 to 793 of the family's 1533-position model. The record is from RNAcentral.